RNAcentral lists this ribosomal RNA (253 nucleotides) under uncultured bacterium. RNAcentral describes it as "partial 16S ribosomal RNA". It matches the Rfam family "Bacterial small subunit ribosomal RNA", at positions 524 to 776 of the family's 1533-position model. The record is from RNAcentral.
UACAGAGGUCCCAAGCGUUGUUCGGAUUCACUGGGCGUAAAGGGUGCGUAGGCGGUUGGGUAAGUUUGACGUGAAAUCUCCGAGCCUAACUCGGAAACUGCGUUGAAUACUAUCCAACUUGAGGAAUGGAGGGGAGACUGGAAUACUUGGUGUAGCAGUGAAAUGCGUAGAUAUCAAGUGGAACACCAGUGGCGAAGGCGAGUCUCUAGACAGUUCCUGACGCUGAGGCACGAAAGCCAGGGGAGCAAACGGG